CUUUAUUCAUCAAAGUACAACAAACAUGGACAUCCAUCCACAUGAAGAUGACCGGGGGUAUCACUAGACUAGCAUCCAUGGAGCUCAGCAUCAUAUCUUCAUCUGCAACUUCUGAUCAAAAUUAAGCAAGGGUGAGCUCACUUAUGGUCGGGGCUCAGCAAGUGGGGGAGAAACUAAUGCAAGGUAACAAGGUGAGGCUAAGGUUGAGCAGUAAGCAUUUUAGUUGGUCAACAUUUUAUUAACAACACCUGUCCUACUAAUAAGUGUGAAUCCCAAGUAUUCCCAUUAAACAAAGUUACAAGAGUAUAUCAAAAACACUUAAGUGAAACCACUUAAGAAAACCAUUGGUAGAUCAUCGGAUCUCGAUUUAUUUCCAUCUUCAAGUUCAAUUAUCAUUUGAGGAGUCCAGGCUGCUCAUAACCGUGAGCACGACUGAUAUAUCAGUUUUACACUCUGCAGAGAUGGUACAACUUUACCCACAAGCCGUGUAUCCCCUCUAGCCUGGGUCGGCCAAAACCCGUAAACACUUCCGAGGUGAGUGGCUAGGGAUCCACUAUGAGGCUUUCACAAAAUACACUUAAUACGAAGCAACCCGCUAAGGUUUCUAAAGACAAUGGUGGUGGCCCCCUGGGUGAGGUACCUUAGCCAAGAAUACGUCCCCAUGUUAACGUGGGCUGCCAACACCUACCGCUCCCCCUCUUGCCCAUAUUUCAGGUAAGGUUGCCAGGCACUAAGCAUAUAAAGCUAAUUACCAAAGCCAGAGCCAUGAUAGCACUCGUGGUUGCACUGUUUUCCCGGGUGGUCACUCCAUGUUCCAAUUAAUAUGCAAUAAUCUUGUUUAACCAUCGGGUUAACAACAAUAAUGUAAACUUACCAUUUUGGAACAUUAAUAUCAUAAGCGGGAGCGACUGCAUAAAGUUAAGUUGUAGCAAUAGCAUAGCUACGAAGGUAAAGUAUAAUUCCCAGGUUUGAUCAAGGAAUAAGGUUGGAAAGGUUAUCUAAAUAGGUAACCCAUCAAAUUAUGCAUAUAUAUCCAAAAGAAUAAACUUUAUUAAAUGUAUUGUUUGGGAUCAAACAGAGUAUGCAGAUGGAGAAGUCCACUUGCCUUGCUUAUUGAAAACUUGAGGUUCCUCCACGGAUAGGAAUAGAUCUUGAUUCUUAACUACUAGAUCAACCACUGAAUAUCACACAAACAAACAAGAAGAACAAACACCACUCAAUAACAUACCACAUUCACCAUACGUAAAGCUAAAAGAAAACCUAACGAAAAGAGCGUUCGUUUUUCAAAAACGUCGCAAGUAAUGGUUAUAAUAAGAAGAUAUUCUUUUCAAAAAAUGUGUGAUCUAUACUUUAUAAAACAAGACAUGAGCUUAAAAAUAUCUUAAUUAAAAUAUACAAAUAUUGGGUUCAUCAGUUUUAAUCUUUUAUAAAACGUCAUAUGUGAUCUGUCUAAGAUUAAGGGUUUAUAAGACGAUAAAACACGUUAUAACGAUAUAAAACCUUUUUAACCUUUUAUAAAUGAUAUAUGUUAUAUAUCUAAGGUUAAUGAGCUACGAAACGCGUUAUUAAUUUUAGAAGCAUUAUGGAACAUCUUAUAAAUCAUUGUUAAAUAUUCACUUACGAUAAACUAGGAUAUAAGUCUAAAUAAGUUUUAUGUGAAAAGAUCAUUAUUAUUAAACACCUAUUUAUGAAAAGUUAUGAUAUAUGCCUUGGAUGAACUUUUAUGUAAAAGACAAUGAACAAACAACUAUAUUUUAUUUCUAUUAGAAAGUACAUGUCUUAUAUUCUUUAUUAAGAAAGCUAUAUACAAAACAAUAUAUAAACUAACGUUUUAAUUAUUAUUAAAGAAUAUGAACACUAAUUUCCUUAGUUUAUUCUUUUAGAAAAAACUAAGUGAUUCAUAUAAUAUGGACUAAAUUCUAUGAAAUCAUUAAUCAUGUCAUAAAUCUAGUUAAGAACAAAUUGACUAUAAGUUUAAAUAAUACAUUAUGAUAGUUAAUUAUCUUUAAUUCUAUUGUAGGAACAAAUGAUCUAAUUCAUUAGAAAGGAAAUUAUGUAUAAACUAUCAUUUUAGUUUAUAAAAUCAAUGAGACUAAUUAAUCCAUUUUAACACUUAUUUUAGGAAAAAGCUCGAUAUUACAUUUAAACAUUGUGAGACAUAAUAUAUCAUCAUUUAUAAGAACUUGAAUAUAAGGCUAAAUCAAAUUUAUGGGAAAUAUAAUUAGACAUAUAUUUAUCUUUUAUUUUUAUUAAGAAACAUAUGGUUUACAAUUUCUUUUAAAUUUCUAUUUAAGAAGGCUAUACUUAAAUAACUAUGUCAAACAAUAUUAAAUUAUCAAAACAUGAUAUCUAUUGCAAGCGACCUUUUAUAUUUAUUUUAUGUUCCUUAUUUACAAACUACACCUAAUUAAUUAUAACAAACAUAAUAUAAAUUAAUUUAAACACAUGUAAAUCGUUGCAACUAUCAAUUAAAACUAAUCACUGCAUUAACACAUAGCUAUCUAAAUACUAUUUAAUUUAUCUGGAUAUUGAAUACGCAUAAAUCGAUUGUAGCAAACAUAAUUCCAUUUUUUUGCGAAAACAAGUAAAUUAUUGGACAUAUAAAUCGGUGUAAAUUUACGAAGUUAACAAAUUAAUAUUUAAUUUAUUUGAGUCUCACAUACAUAUUUUAAAAUAUAGAAAAAUUGUUGCAGUGGUCAGCUCAAAAUUAAACAUAGACGAUAGGGAGUAGCGUGUAAAAUUAGAACUUUCUUUUACCUUCGGAUUGCGGAUAGAAAACAAAUCGUCGCGGAGCGGAACAGAGAAUGACGAUGACGGUCGGCGCGACAAGCUGGGCGUAGAGGUUCUAGU
This 2850-nucleotide long non-coding RNA is filed under the name Zea mays. RNAcentral describes it as "long non-coding RNA (ZMAY_LNC002007)". The record is from RNAcentral. Lineage: Eukaryota; Viridiplantae; Streptophyta; Magnoliopsida; Poales; Poaceae.